Paragonimus heterotremus is the source of this 81-nucleotide non-coding RNA. NCBI's taxonomy places the organism in Eukaryota, Metazoa, Platyhelminthes, Trematoda, Plagiorchiida, Troglotrematidae. The record is from the annotation of a GenBank genome assembly.
GGCUUCGUUGCUCGGCCUGUAGAGUGCCUGCCGCGUUGAGGCAUCGUGUUUCUGUCGCUGGUUCGAAUCCAGCAGAAGCCC